RNAcentral lists this ribosomal RNA (510 nucleotides) under uncultured bacterium. RNAcentral's name for it is "bacterial SSU rRNA". It matches the Rfam family "Bacterial small subunit ribosomal RNA", at positions 9 to 515 of the family's 1533-position model. The record is from RNAcentral.
GAGUUUGAUCGUGGCUCAGAUUGAACGCUGGCGGCAGGCCUAACACAUGCAAGUCGAGCGGUAGAGAGAAGCUUGCUUCUCUUGAGAGCGGCGGACGGGUGAGUAAUGCCUAGGAAUCUGCCUGGUAGUGGGGGAUAACGCUCGGAAACGGACGCUAAUACCGCAUACGUCCUACGGGAGAAAGCAGGGGACCUUCGGGCCUUGCGCUAUCAGAUGAGCCUAGGUCGGAUUAGCUAGUUGGUGAGGUAAUGGCUCACCAAGGCGACGAUCCGUAACUGGUCUGAGAGGAUGAUCAGUCACACUGGAACUGAGACACGGUCCAGACUCCUACGGGAGGCAGCAGUGGGGAAUAUUGGACAAUGGGCGAAAGCCUGAUCCAGCCAUGCCGCGUGUGUGGAGAAGGUCUUCGGAUUGUAAAGCACUUUAAGUUGGGAGGAAGGCAGUAAAUUAAUACUUUGCUGUUUUGACGUUACCGACAGAAUAAGCACCGGCUAACUCUGUGCCAGCACG